GAUGAACGCUGGCGGCGUGCUUAACACAUGCAAGUCGAACGAAGCACUUUAUUCGAUUUUCUUCGGAGAUGAAGAUUUAGUGACUGAGUGGCGGACGGGUGAGUAACGCGUGGAUAACCUGCCUCUCACUGGGGGAUAACAGUUAGAAAUGACUGCUAAUACCGCAUACGCGCACAGUAUCGAAUGGUACGGUGUGAUAAACUCCGGUGGUGUGAGAUGGAUCCGCGUUUGAUUAGCCAGUUGGCGGGGUAACGGCCCACCAAAGCGACGAUCAAUAGCCGACCUGAGAGGGUGACCGGCAACAUUGGGACUGAGACACGGCCCAAAAUCCUACGGGAGGCAGCAGUGGGGAAUAUUGCGCAAUGGGGGAAACCCUGACGCAGCGACGCCGCGUGAGCGAUGUAGUAUUUCGGUAUGUAAAGCUCUAUCAGCAGGGAAUAAUAAAUGACGGUACCUGACUAAGAAGCCCCGGCUAACUACGUGCCAGCCGCCGCCGUAA
RNAcentral lists this ribosomal RNA (499 nucleotides) under uncultured bacterium. Its description in RNAcentral is "partial 16S ribosomal RNA". It matches the Rfam family "Bacterial small subunit ribosomal RNA", at positions 28 to 523 of the family's 1533-position model. The record is from RNAcentral.